GCCCGGGUGGCGAAAUUGGUAGACGCAGCGGACUUAAAAUCCGCAGGCCUGAAAAGGCCGUGCCGGUUCAAAUCCGGCCCCGGGCACCA
RNAcentral lists this transfer RNA (89 nucleotides) under mine drainage metagenome. RNAcentral describes it as "tRNA-Leu". It matches the Rfam family "tRNA". Rfam says of the family: Transfer RNA (tRNA) molecules are approximately 80 nucleotides in length. The record is from RNAcentral.